Molecule: long non-coding RNA, 7816 nt
Filed under: Sus scrofa (pig)
Lineage: Eukaryota; Metazoa; Chordata; Mammalia; Artiodactyla; Suidae
Description: lncRNA (ENSSSCG00000061336.1)
Source: RNAcentral
CCCAGAUCAAAAGUGCUAGUCUAGCAUUUUGGAAUAAUCAAAGAGAAAACCAAAGGACUUCUGAAUUUUACAUAUUUUAUAGCUAGCUCUCUGAACGAACUGUAACAAAAAUGUGACCCCGAUAUUUAAAAUUGAAAUAAUUGCCUCCAUGGAAGGAUAAGAAUGAAGUGUCCCUGAUUAUUAACUCAUUGCAUUCCUCUCAGUGCCUUAGGCAGAGGCAGAUUCGGUUUUCGAACAGGUAAAAUGCCUGUUUUUCUGUCAGAAAAACUGUAGGGAUGUAGCAUUCAUAGCCUAUAAAUCUGUAAUUUGAGCCAUAGUACUUGAAAAGCAAAAACAGUUUUGAAAUAUACAGGGUAGCUUACAUUCCAUUUCUGUGAUAAAGUGUGCAUGACAAAGUAAUACUGAGAUCAUACUACAGCCAUUUGGGAUAAAGAUGUCCAUGGAAAGAAACCGUGGGUAUUAUUUUAAAAUAAUUGCAGAAACUGUCAUUUUCUGGAAAUAGUAGAUAUAUAUACAAAUCUAAUCACCUGACCCAUCUCAUUUUUGCGUUAUGGCUCCAGCUGAAUUUCUUGAUAGAAUUAUACCUACAUUACCACCAGCUGCCUCUUCUUAGUCUUAAGUAUAAUUCCAUUUGGGGAUUCUGUUAUUAUAUCAAAACAGAAUAAAAAUCUAGUUACAUAGUUCGAGAGUCUUCACAAUUGGGUGCUCUUUGAUUGGGCACUGUGUGAACUGCUCGUCUGAUGAAUCCUUGACCCAUCUUUAUUACCUGGUUUUAUCUUGGCAUCCUUCAACAGCACCUGCCUGGAGGUGACUGCCAUCGUUCCAGUUGUAGGCACUGUGUGUUACUAGGACUGUAAGCACAGAAGUUAUACAACCGGAAAGAGCCUCUUACAGUGAGAACUGUAGCUUGGAAGGUUACAUCCAGUCACACAGCUACUUCCUGGCAGGAUGAGAGCUCUUUCUGUUCAACCUUCAUUCCUUGCCUCACAUGCUUGUAGGUUUAGAUGCAUUCAUCCGUUCCAACUCUAUAGGGGUAUCUAUACCAAUACCGCAUUCUUGAUCCCCUGCCAGCACUCCAGGAUUCAUUAGGUAAGAGUAAGUGAGCAACACAUGAAUCAAAAGAAUGAAUGUAUUCUGACGCCCCAUUGUAAGAUAAGCUUCCUAAGAACAGGCGAUAUACAUCAAGUUUCUUUAGUCCCUUUUCAUCGUGAAAAUAGGAAGGAAGGAGGGUAUAUUCCUGAAUUUGAAGCCCUCAAAAUAUCUUAGCUGCUUUAAUUUUUCAAAAAAACAUCCUUGACAGUGGAUUUUUCUGUUCCAACUCUGCUUAGGUAGAACACCCAGAAAUCACAAACUUGGUUGCAGUUCCUCAGAGGAGUUAAUAAUUCGACUCUAAAGAAACAACAUCAAAACAGGUUCAGAAUGAUUAAAGUGCUUGAAAUCCUCUUGGGGGCUAUUCACUUGUAAUUUGUUAUUUCUUGGACUGUCAAAGGCAGCUGUUGUGAAUGGGAAAUAAUUGUUAUUUACAGCCUUGUUUGCCUUUGAUGGAGGCUUAUGUGCUGCCAAGGUUACUGGGUUUGAAAAGGAAGAAGAUUCACUUUCCCUUUUCCCUCCUCAGACAGUGGUUUGUUAAAUCUGAAGUAAAGCAAAGAAGAUUUUUAAAAAUUCUAUUAAUAAAAAGAGAAGAAUUCUAUUAAUAAAAAGCGAGACUUGGACUGUGUUCAUGUCAAGUGGAAUGAAAUACUGAUUAUGCCAUUUAAUUUGUAUAAUGUGGGCUGCCAAUGUGAAAACCUCAAUGCAAGCAGUAGAACUUUUAGCCUGAAUUAUCUGAUACUUAUGUGGAUAGUUUUUAUCCUGAAUUAGAUCUCAGAUUUUUUUUUUUUUAAAGAAAAAAAACAGAUGUUCAACAAAGAUUCUGAACAGAGUUGAGAAAUCCAUUCCACUCAUAUGGGUAGGGAUACUGGGCCCAGUUAACAAAUGUGACCUUAAUUCUCGAGAGCUGCAGAGUUCCUCUUGCCAUUGAACUUGGCUUCCUCCUCACAUAAUUUGAAGAUAUGAUAUACAUUCAAGGGUAGCUUUGUUGGCAUGUGCAGAUCCCUGGGCUUCGGCUGCACAGCGGCGAGGCCGUUAGCACACAAGAAGUUGCCUCUCUGCCAUACACAAAUUCAAUUAAAAGCUCCAGAUAAAACUUUAAUUAAAAGGUUGUAGAAACAAAUGCAUGUGUACCAGGCCUUACAACUUGCCAGACUCUGGCUCUGCUGAAUCAGAGGGAGUGAAUUCUGCAGACAAUGGGCUUCUUCUAUGAACAAUACCUGGCUGCCAGCAACACACAUUCUUGGCCAUAAUGAAAAACCUGAAAGGUUUGGAGGCUGGUGCCCUGAUACCGCUGAAGGGCCCCAGUGUCCUAAUUCUAUAAGGAGGCCUCCUGAGGCCCUACUGUGGCCCCUCCUCAGGUGCUGCAGAACACAAGUGGGAAACGUCUGAUAUAGUUCGUUCCCUCCCCCGCUCAUGGAAGAAUCCAGAUGCUGCUGGAGAGUUUAAGUGACAAGGAGCUCAUUCCCUCAAAAUUCUGUGUGCAAACACAUUAGAAUAUUAGAAAGGCCUUGCAUACACCGAUGCAGGCUUUGUCCCUAUAACUUCAAUGUGCUGGCUAUCAUCUUAGCCUUUGGACCUCGAGAAAUCCCUUGUCCACAUCAAAGCACUUCAGGAUUGUAAAAUUAGGUGUAAUGUCUUCCUUUUAUAGUCUAACUAUUCCCACUUAUUUCCAUCUCUCCAGAAAUGACCUCGUUUCCAGGCCAUUGCUGCCCUCAUCACACGCCUGGAAUUGCUCCAGGUCAUCCUGGAUGUACUAGUCCAGGUAUGGACAGACUAGUAGUGAAUACAGCAGGGAAUACUCCUUUCCUCAAUGCUCUCAAGGCUGUCCUUCUACUAGUGAUAUCUCAGAUGACACUUUUUGGUAGUGCAGUUUCACUGUUGGCACACGUUAAGCUUGCAGUCCACAGAAAACAGCUCUUCUCCGCAUGAACUGAUGAUUUUCCAGUUCCCUUAAGCCUCUAACAGGUUGGGUGUUGAAGUGAAUUUUAUAGACUCUUUGGAGAACAGUCACUGAAACACAUCAUAAUGCUUUUAGAAUGUAAAUAUUUUUUCUGCUUCUUGACUCUCGAGGAUUAGCCAUAAUGUUGGUCACCCCGUAGUAGGACUGAAAGAAGUUGAAGUGGAGCAUCUUUUUCAAUACAAUACAUGGAAGAAAACUGAGGCCCAAGAGCCAGAACAAGGAGCAAAUAUUUGCCCAGCCAGUGAUGGCCGUGUGACCACAAGUUCCAGUUUGCCUGUUGUAAUUUACUCAGAACAUAGUCAGAAAAACAUAACUAUCUAGGUUUGGACAACAAUUUAAAUGAUUGCCUUAAGUAAGGGCUCUUUAUGCUGAAUUACACUGACAGUUUCUUAUGCCAACUCUGUUCCCCUUUGGAGCCACGUUUAAUAGCGGUAAAAAGCAUUCAGAGACCUGGGAUUACAUUUUCUUCAGAGAUUCUGGCAUCAGAACACAGUCCCAUGGCAAUUUGUCUUGAAUGACUUCCACCGCUGACACCCCUCCCUCAGAAGUCCUUCUAUACAGAACACUUGGUAGACAAAAUAGUGCUGACCAAUCGGGUUCUACAAAGAGGAUCUAACAAUAUUUUUAUGGUCCUAGGAGAUGUUUGGAGUCAAGGCAAAGUCAAGUCUAAGUCAAAGUUUAAGAAGCUAGACCCGGUUGGCUCUAGUUCUUUCCUUCUGUGACCAUGUCAAAGUUGAAUGCACAGGAAAUGGUUAAGACAUUUGUUUGACAUCAGGAAAAGAGAGUUCUGCCAUCUUUUCUCAGCUCUCUCCUGUAAGCCCAAAAAUAUAUAGGUAUUUUAGGAGGCUAUUUUUUAGGAUUCAUAAAUGAUUAUCAUAUUUAUGGAGGGUAAAUGAGAUGAAAUUGUAUUCUUGGUCAUCCAGAAGUGGUUAUUUAGUGACACACAUUUCUAACUGCUAGGACCUAGUUUCUGGAAGCUGUAAAAAUAUGAAGUGAUCCAUAAAUAUACUUUGAAGACACACCGUGUGUUUGGAAGAAUUUUUUUCAUGCUUUGAUUGCCUCUUUGAGAUAAUCGCUUGAGCAAGAAACAUCUUGGUAUAUAAUGUACGACAGUGAGCCAGUCGAGGGGUUUGAAAAAAUGGUGACAGUAAUAAAUGCCAACUAUUAAUAUUAUUGUUUGGGGCAUCUGCUAAGUUGAAUUAGGCCUAAGUUCCUUCAUGAGAAUACCCGUGAACUCUCAUCAAUCAUGUGUCAUUCCCAAAGGCGACCAAUCAUAAUGGCUAUUUCUCCUUUAGGACAAUGCCAAGCUCAACGAAUCGAAGUCCUGCUAGUGUCAGUAAAACUAAGUGCUCUCAGGGGAAAGAUAUAGAGGGUCUUUUUUUUUUUUUUUUUUUGGUAGGAGCAUUAAAAACAGUCACCAAACAAUUGACUUUGAUGUGACGGCUCCCAAAGCAUCAUUUAAAAGAUUUUCUGUAAUCACAUUUAAAUUGCUCAUGAUUAAAAGAGCUUACCUAUGAAUGUCUGUAUUUUAUGACUUAAGUCAUAGAUAAACUAUAUUGUAUACAGAGUUCUCCCUGACACUUCUGAGGAGUCAUUUUAUUUGUGUGUGUGUGUGUGUAUGUGUGUGAGUACAUCUGUGAGUGAGUAUGUGUCUGUGUGUCUCUUUUGUUCCUCAUGGUAAAAUUAGGGAGUUUAUUCCCAAAACUGGAAAGAAUCUUAUCAGGGUAAUGUAGCUAAUUCUUUGACCACAUGCAGAUAUUUUUAAGACAUUCGAGACCUUUAUCUUGUUUCGAUACAUAGAAGCCUAAGCCUCGUAGACAUACAUUGGCUCAUACCCUCUUGACACAAAAAGUUCUCUACCUUAUAGACGCAUGGAGGCCUAUAUCUUAUAAAUACACGGCUCUGUACUGGAUAGACACAUAUAAGCCUACACUUUAUGGACACAUACUGGUUUAUACUUUUAAGACCCUUAGAAACCUGUGCUGUAUAGACACAUGCUGACCUAAAAGUGUGUGGGCUUACAGAGGCCUCUAUGUACCUUAGACACAUGUUCAGGACUUUAUCCCAUAUAUACAUAUAGGCCUAUAUAACCUAUCAGCACAUAUAAGCCUAUAGCUUACAGACACACAGAGGCCUCUACCUUGUAGAAAGUGUCCCCAAAUUCCUAAUGAGUAUUUUAAAGGCCCAAGCACACACCAUUGAGAUGUCCUUAUAAUCACAGACUUUUCAAACUUCAAGGUUUGUUAUCCUGAGUUCUCUUUUCUCUGCAAAUAUUUGAUAGGCAAGAUGACUCUGACCCCAGAUAAUCUGUACUAGACUCACAGAUUUGGUUCGCAGGGACAAGCCUCUAAGUGUUCUGAUUCAAGGCCAUUAUAGAUGCUCUUAGUGUAUAACCAUAACUAUAUAUUAUGUACAUAACAUGGAGAGAGCUUUUCCGCCAGAAGUCCUCUUUAGAUGUACAUUCUGUAUUUAAAAAACAUUGAUUCAUGUUAACUGAUCGUGUUUAUUCACCAAAUCAGCCUCCAAAUUUAGCACAUCAUUUUUGUGCAAUUUUUUUUCUAAGCCUCCCUCAUGCUUAUGUUCCUUUAUCUGCAGGUAUCUGCAAAUCCACCACAGUAACAAAAUGAAGUCUCUUAAGAUAUUCUAAAGCAUUCUGAUAUCUUUGCAGUUAAUACAUUUCAUUUAAAACAUCACCAAGGCAGGUUGUUGUCAGCUUGUAAUUUAUUUAAAUUGCUAUUGGCUUCAUUUCCAUUUCUCUCGUCUGCAGCUUAACAUUUCAGAGACAGAAAGUGAAUCUGAAUUCAGAAAAUGCAACAUUUUUUUUUUUAAAAUAUGUGUUAAUUCUUGCUAGGCCUGUAAGGAACAACUGGUUUUAAAAAUUAAAAAUAAAUAAAGAUACCUAAUGUUAAGCCGGAUACCUUCCUUUCAAAAUGGGAAAAUGAACAUUUUCAGAAAGGCUGUCAUGGCUAUUGGAAGCUGCCAAGCAAGCUGGUGCAGGCUGGGUCUAGUAUGGAGUAUUGAUUCAGAUGUCAUAAUUAAAUGAGCCUGAGACUGAGCUCAGAUAGAAACUGUUUGGAAAGAUGGAUAAAGAGUCAGGAAGAGAUAUGAGUUAGAAUCUCUUUCCCUAAUAGUACUUGUCAGAAUUUCAAGGGUGAGAGGUUCUAUCAAUUGGAACAAGAACGGUCUGGGAGUGAUAGGGUUUGGCACCUUAUCAAUUCUCUCCCUUCUAAGAGAGCAUGUGUGUGACAUCUGUGAUUUAUUUCCGAUCUACCAGUCUGCUGAGCAUGAGUCUUGGAUUUGCUGCCAAAUUACUGUACUCGUCUCCAUGCUAAAAGGCUGCUGUCACAUUUAAGACUGUCAGAAAUUCAGAUCCUUCCCAUGGGUGAUCCCAGAGAACACAUAUAAGAGGGACUUCCCUUUGCUUAUGGAGAGCAACGUGUGGAAGUUAUUUUGUUGCAGAUCAAUUUAUAUAUACCAAAUUGCUCUCCCCCCCCCCCGUUUCUGUAUCUAUGAUUAAUACCAUGGUAUAGCCAUAUCCAUGGAAAUGUAAAAUAUAAAAACAAAUUGUCUCCUGAUCUCACCACCCUAACACAAAUGCUACUUCCCGAGUCUCUGCCCAUAUGCACCCUAUAAUAUUAACUUUCACACUCAGAAAAAAAAUUUCCUGAUUAUCAGCAAUUUAUUUCCAUCAGCAGACAUUGCCCAAAGCAGCGAGGAGGAGCUAGUCUGGGUUGACUAUGAACAGGGAGGUGGGUUCUAAUACCUGUGACACAAGAGUGGGAUGAAAUGAAUGCCCUUGCAACCACCUGUGAAAGAGACACACUUUCCUUUAUCUUUUGUGCAGCCCUUGGGUGGUCUUCUCAUUCACCAGCCAACUUCGUACAGUUGCGAUCCUCUCAUCUUCACCUCCUUACCGUCGGGAGAGAGGAGCAGGCAAUGUGAGCACAGAGGACAGUAGUGAUAGUUGAUAUUUUUCCUUCAAUGCCAUCUCCUCGUAGGCCUGUAGCAAGGAGGGCUAUCAUUUAACGUGGACACGGCAGUUCCUCUGGCCAUUUGAAUCAUGACCCUCUGACCUGGGAGCAGGCCAGCAUCUCUAGGAUUUAUGGGAAAGACCUUACUCUUGCAAAAUGGCAGUGCUCACCAAUCAUUUGCUCACCAUCUCCCUCUUUCGGCUUUCUCCUCGUUAUUAGAAGAGUCAUUCUUUUAAGCCACUCAGUUGCCUCGGGAACUAUAGAGUGGACCUAGCAAUAAUUCUCUAUGACGCAUAUCUCUACAUAAUCUUUUUCUGAUCAUUUGACCUAACCUGUGCCCUCACCCCCAGCAAAAUUUACAAAUGUCUCUUAUUCUUAAGGCUCUGCAAUUAAUUUUCUUAACUAAGAAUAGCAAACACACUAGAAAAUCACAGAUUGUAUUUACAUUCUGAGAAGCUAACUUCCUGCCCAUUUACAAUAUGUGGCGGACAGAUAUUUGAGAAUGAUCAAAAAUAUUAUAGGAAUUGUUUUGUAAGUGUUGGGAUGUGCUUACCUUUUUAGAAAUCUAAAACUGGAGUUCCCGUUGUGGUGCAUCAGGUUAAGAACCUGACAUAGUGUCCAUGAGGAUGAGGGUUCCAUCCUUGGCCUUGAUCAGUGGGUUAAAGGAUCUGGCAUUGCCAUAAGCUGGGGCAUAGGUUGCAGGAGUGGUCUGGAUCCGGUGUUGCUGUGGCUGUGGCAUAGGCCAACAGCUGUAGCUCUGAUUCCACCCCUAGUCUGGGAACUUCCAUAUGCC